ACGAACGCUGGCGGCGUGCUUAACACAUGCAAGUCGAACGGAAAGGCCUGCUUUCCCUUGUGGAUUGCGGGUGCUCGAGUGGCGAACGGGUGAGUAACACGUGAGUGAUCUGCCCCCAACUUGGGUAUAAGCCCGGGAAACUGGGUCUAAUUCCCGAUAGGACUGCAGGGUGGUGCCUGUGGUGGAAAACGAUUUUCUAGUGGUUGGGGAUGAGCUCGCGGCCUAUCAGCUUGUUGGUGGGGUAAUGGCCUACCAAGGCGGCGACGGGUAGCCGGCCUGAGAGGGUGGACGGCCACAUUGGGACUGAGAUACGGCCCAGACUCCUACGGGAGGCAGCAGUGGGGAAUAUUGCACAAUGGGCGGAAGCCUGAUGCAGCGACGCCGCGUGGGGGAUGACGGCCUUCGGGUUGUGAACUCCUUUCGACCGCGAGGAAGCCACCUGGUUGGAAGGGUGGUGACGGUAGUGGUAGAAGAAGCACCGGCUAACUACGUG
This 493-nucleotide ribosomal RNA is filed under the name uncultured bacterium. RNAcentral's name for it is "partial 16S ribosomal RNA". It matches the Rfam family "Bacterial small subunit ribosomal RNA", at positions 29 to 507 of the family's 1533-position model. The record is from RNAcentral.